Microtus oregoni (creeping vole) is the source of this 219-nucleotide long non-coding RNA. RefSeq lists it as uncharacterized. The record is from RefSeq and is a predicted model, not a curated record. NCBI's taxonomy places the organism in Eukaryota, Metazoa, Chordata, Mammalia, Rodentia, Cricetidae. The transcript is spliced from 3 exons.
AUUGGAGUAUCUAAAAGUUCGUUUCCUCACAUCUGGUAAAUUGAGGUUGUCUUGGCUGUGUGCCUAGCUGGGCUGAACACGUGGCUCUGAUUCCUGACAACAGGUGUUCUGUAUUCUAAAACCAAGUGUACCACAUAAUAUUAAUAGACUCUGCUUCCCACAUCUGCACAACUAAAGACUACCGUGCCGUGUAUGAUACCAAGAAGACAACUUUUACCC